UCUAAUGUGGCAGAUUAGUGCAAUGGACUUAAACCCCAUACAUAAAGCCUUAACUUUUUUUAGAA
RNAcentral lists this transfer RNA (65 nucleotides) under Neolucanus maximus. RNAcentral describes it as "tRNA-Leu". The record is from RNAcentral. Lineage: Eukaryota; Metazoa; Arthropoda; Insecta; Coleoptera; Lucanidae.